AAAAGGUUUGGUCCUGACCUUACUAUCAACUUUUUCUUAACUUACACAUGCAAGUCUCAGCACACCCGUGAGAACGCCCUUCUACCCUUUUCAAGAAGAAGGAGCCGGCAUCAGGCACAGAAUCUCGCCCACGACGCCUAGUUUCACCACACCCCUAAGGGUAUUCAGCAGUGAUAUACAUUGUUUAUAAGCGACAGCUUGAUUUAGUUAAAGAAAAUCAGAGCCGGCCAAUCUGGUGCCAGCCGCCGCGGCUAGACCAGCAGACUCAAGUUGAUUGUUACCGGCGUUAAGCGUGGUUAAAGAAACCUCUAAUUAGAGACAAACACGAACCCAGCUGUAAUAAGCUUGUCAAGAGGAAAAACACAUACGAAAGUUACUCUAAUACCCUUGAACCCACGAAAGCUAGGAAACAAACUGGGAUUAGAUACCCCACUAUGCCUUGCCAUAAAAUAUCAACUCACAACUAAAACGCCUGGGAAUUACGAGCCAAGCUUAAAACCCAAAGGACUUGACGGUGUCCUAUCCACCUAGAGGAGCCUGUUCUAUAAUCGAUACUCCCCGCUACACCUCACCAUUUCUUGUUUAUCAGCCUGUAUACCUCCGUCGCAAGCUUACCAUAUGAAUGACUUACAGUAAGCCCAACCAGGUCUUUCCACCAAUACGUCAGGUCAAGGUGCAGCUUAUGAAAUGGUAAGCAAUGGGCUACAAUUUCUAACUUAGAACAUACCAAACGCUGUAUGAAACACAGCUAUAAAGGCGGAUUUAGUAGUAAAAAGAGAAUAGCAUGUUCUUUUUAAUCCGGCACUAGGACGUGUACACACCGCCCGUCACCCUCUUCAACAAACCCCCUCCACAUUCUUAAUACACCAUUAAUACUCUAGAAGAGGUAAGUCGUAACAUGGUAAGGGUACUGGAAAGUGCACUUGGAAUAA
RNAcentral lists this non-coding RNA (932 nucleotides) under Pyxicephalus adspersus. RNAcentral's name for it is "12S ribosomal RNA". It matches the Rfam family "Bacterial small subunit ribosomal RNA". The record is from RNAcentral. Lineage: Eukaryota; Metazoa; Chordata; Amphibia; Anura; Pyxicephalidae.